AUACGGAGGGUGCGAGCGUUGUUCGGAAUUAUUGGGCGUAAAGAGCAUGUAGGCGGUCUGUUAAGUCUGGUGUGAAAGCCCGGGGCUCAACCCCGGAAGUGCAUUGGAUACUGGCAGACUUGAGUAUGCGAGAGGAAAGCGGAAUUCCGAGUGUAGGAGUGAAAUCCGUAGAUAUUCGGAGGAACACCAGUGGCGAAGGCGGCUUUCUGGACCAAUACUGACGCUGAGAUGCGAAAGCGUGGGGAGCGAACAGAAUUAGAUACCCCGGUAGUCC
Molecule: ribosomal RNA, 274 nt
Filed under: uncultured bacterium
Lineage: Bacteria
Description: partial 16S ribosomal RNA
Rfam family: Bacterial small subunit ribosomal RNA
Source: RNAcentral